RNAcentral lists this ribosomal RNA (477 nucleotides) under uncultured bacterium. RNAcentral describes it as "partial 16S ribosomal RNA". It matches the Rfam family "Bacterial small subunit ribosomal RNA", at positions 34 to 507 of the family's 1533-position model. The record is from RNAcentral.
UCUGCCCGCUGGCGGCGUGCCUAAUACAUGCAAGUCGAGCGAACAGACGAGGAGCUUGCUCCUCUGACGUUAGCGGCGGACGGGUGAGUAACACGUGGAUAACCUACCUAUAAGACUGGUAUAACUUCGGGAAACCGGAGCUAAGACCGUAGAAGAUAUUGAACCGCAUGGUUCAAUAGAGAAAUACGGUUUUGUUGGCACGUGUAGAUGGAUACGCGGCUCAUUAUCUAGUUGGUAAGUUCAGGGCAUACCAAGGCGACGACGCGUAGCCGACCUGAGAGGGUGACCGGCCACAUGGGGACUGAGAGACGGCCCAGACUCCUACGGGAGGCAGUAGUGGUGAAUAUUGCACAAUGGGCGGAAGCCUGAUGCAGCAACGCCGCGGGCGGGAUGACGGCCUUCGGGUGGUAAACCGCUUUCGCCUGUGACGAAGCGUGAGUGAGGGUAAGGGGUAAAGAAGCACCGGCUAACUACGUG